Molecule: ribosomal RNA, 253 nt
Filed under: uncultured bacterium
Lineage: Bacteria
Description: partial 16S ribosomal RNA
Rfam family: Bacterial small subunit ribosomal RNA
Source: RNAcentral
UACAGAGGUCUCAAGCGUUGUUCGGAUUCAUUGGGCGUAAAGCGCACGUAGGCGGCAUUGCAAGUCGGAUGUGAAAUCCCUCGGCUUAACCAAGGAAGUGCAUCCGAAACUGCAGUGCUUGAGUACGAAAGAGGAUCGCGGAAUUCCCGGUGUAGAGGUGAAAUUCGUAGAUAUCGGGAGGAACACCAGUGGCGAAGGCGGCGAUCUGGGUCGAUACUGACGCUGAGGUGCGAAAGCGUGGGGAGCAAACAGG